Molecule: transfer RNA, 72 nt
Filed under: Ophiocten ludwigi
Lineage: Eukaryota; Metazoa; Echinodermata; Ophiuroidea; Amphilepidida; Ophiuridae
Description: tRNA-Ile
Source: RNAcentral
AGGUAAGCCCCUAAAGGAAGGGAAAAUUAGCCGAUAACUAAUUUUUAGUUGGUUCAAGUCCAAUCUUAUCUU